Molecule: ribosomal RNA, 467 nt
Filed under: uncultured bacterium
Lineage: Bacteria
Description: partial 16S ribosomal RNA
Rfam family: Bacterial small subunit ribosomal RNA
Source: RNAcentral
GACGAACGCUGGCGGCGUGCUUAACACAUGCAAGUCGAACGGAAAGGCCCUGCUUUUGUGGGGUGCUCGAGUGGCGAACGGGUGAGUAACACGUGAGUAAACUGCCCUUGACUUUGGGAUAACUUCAGGAAACUGGGGCUAAUACCGGAUAGGAGCUCCUGAUGCAUGGUGGGGGUUGGAAAGUUUCGGCGGUUGGGGAUGGACUCGCGGCUUAUCAGCUUGUUGGUGGGGUAGUGGCUUACCAAGGCUUUGACGGGUAGCCGGCCUGUGAGGGUGACCGGCCCCAUGGGCACGGAGGUACGGCCCAGACUCCCCCGGGAGGCAACGGGGGGGAAUUUUGCCAAAUGGGCGGAGGCCUGAUGCACCACCGCCGCGUGCGGGAACACGGCCUUCGGGUUAGAAACCGUUUCCCCCUUUGACGAAACGUGUGGGACGUAAAUGGGAAAAGAACCACCGCCAAACUACGG